RNAcentral lists this ribosomal RNA (3260 nucleotides) under Triticum aestivum (bread wheat). Its description in RNAcentral is "partial small subunit ribosomal RNA". The record is from RNAcentral. Lineage: Eukaryota; Viridiplantae; Streptophyta; Magnoliopsida; Poales; Poaceae.
AAGCACGAACAUUCUCCCCUCCUCCACCGCUGCCAAGAACCUCCGCGCCAACCGCCACCAAACCGCCCUCCCUACCCAAGCCAUGGACAUCGGCUCGGUGCCUUCCCCGGCCGACGCCGCCCUCCGCGGCCGCCAUGCCGCCGGACGCCACGCUGGGGCGCCACCUCGCCCGGCGCCUGGCCGAGGUCGGCGCCCACGACGUCUUCACCGUGCCGGGGGACUUCAACCUGACGCUCCUCGACGAGCUCGAGGCGGAGCAGCCGUCCGGCGGCGGGGUGCGGCUCGUCGGGUGCUGCAACGAGCUAAGCGCCGCCUACGCCGCCGACGGCUACGCCCGCGCGCGCGCCGGCGGGGUCGGCGCCUGCGCGGUCACCUUCACCGUCGGCGGGCUCAGCGCCAUCAACGCCGUCGCCGGCGCCUUCAGCGAGAACCUCCCCGUCAUCUGCAUCGUCGGGGGGCCCAACAGCAACGACUACGGCAGCAACCGGAUCCUGCACCACACCAUCGGCAUCCCCGAUUUCACGCAGGAGCUCCGCUGCUUCCAGAACGUCACCUGUUAUCAGGCAGUGGUGAACAACUUAGAGGAUGCACAUGAACAGAUUGAUACUGCCAUUUGCACUGCACUGAAGGAGAGCAAGCCUGUUUACAUCAGCAUCAGCUGCAACCUCCCCUCGAUCCCGCAUCCAACCUUUAGCCGCCAUCCUGUCCCUUUCUUUCUCUCCCCAAGACUGUCUAACCAGAUGAACCUGGAAGCAGCAGUGGAGACUGCUGCGGCUUUUUUGAACAAAUCAGUCAAGCCGGUCCUUGUUGGCGGACCGAAGAUGAGGGUGGCCAAAGCAAGCAAGGCCUUCGUAGAGCUGGCUGAUGCAUGCGGUUAUCCGGUUGCAGUGAUGCCUUCUGCAAAGGGACUUGUGCCAGAGCACCAUUCUAGAUUUAUCGGCACAUACUGGGGUGCUGUGAGCACCCCAUUCUGUGCUGAGAUUGUGGAGUCAGCUGAUUCCUAUUUGUUUGCUGGCCCGAUAUUUAACGACUACAGCUCGGUUGGGUACUCGCUUCUCCUCAAGAAGGAGAAGGCCAUCAUUGUCCAGCUGGACCGAGUGGUGAUUGGGAAUGGGCCUGCAUUUGGGUGUGUUUUGAUGAAGGACUUCCUGCAUGCGCUUGCAACCCGGCUGAAGAAGAACACAGCUGCCUACGACAACUACAGUCGUAUUUUUGUGCCUCAGGGCGAACCCCUUUCCUCUGAGCCUGGAGAGCCUUUGAGAGUGAAUGUACUUUUCAAGCAUAUUCAGAAAAUGUUGUCUGGCAACUCAGCUGUUAUAGCAGAGACCGGGGACUCAUGGUUUAACUGCCAGAAGCUGAAACUACCAGAAGGCUGUGGGUAUGAAUUUCAGAUGCAAUAUGGAUCAAUUGGUUGGUCUGUGGGUGCAACUCUGGGAUAUGCGCAGGCUGCUAAGGACAAGCGAGUCAUUUCCUUCAUUGGAGAUGGCAGCUUUCAGGUGACGGCACAAGAAGUGUCGACGAUGCUCCGGUGGGAACAGAACAACAUCAUCUUUCUCAUAAACAACGGGGGUUACACCAUUGAGGUGGAGAUCCAUGACGGCCCUUACAACAUCAUCAAGAAUUGGAACUACACCGGCGUGGUGGAAGCAUUCCAUAAUGGCGAGGGCAAGUGCUAUACGGCCAAGGUCCGAACAGAGGAGGAACUGAAGAAGGCAAUUGAGGCAUCCCUAGGACCCAACAAGGACAGCCUGUGCUUUAUAGAGGUAAUUGUGCACAAGGAUGACACUAGUAAGGAGCUUCUUGAGUGGGGUUCUAGGGUUUCCGCCGCGAAUAGCCGCCCACCAAAUCCCCAGUGAACGCAUCAGGUCUCCAAAGAUCCUCAUCCAGCUUAAUGAUGUCAUGUGGAAGUUCUGAAUAGAUGUUACUGAUCUUCAAAUAAAUGAUCCAUUUGAGUCCACUGCCGUUGCAAGGGCUCACGGUUACUGUACAUAGAUGGUCUCAGUUCAGGAACCUGUGCUUGUAUAUUACUUCAAUAAAUCUGAAAUCGAUGUCGUAGCCAGCUAAAGACGCCCUUGAUUUUGGCAUCUUUCUUGAUUUUGACAACAGUUUCAGGCCUGUUGUGUUUCUCAAAAACAUUAGUGAGACGAAACAAAUUGCGUUUCUAGAAUGCGAAGAAGAUUCAAUUAUGUGGUGAAGUUUACUGAAUGUCAAAACAAAUUGCAAUGAAAACUCAAUGAUGCACUCCCAGGUGAAAACAAUUUCUGAAUGUCAAAAUAUUACAGAAAGAACACUGUAAAUUCACUAGUCUGUUUUGCGUUUGUAAACUUUCAUGGGAGACGGUUAUUUUGCGCCCUGUGCAAAAAAAAAAGGUUUCAGUGCUCUUUUCUUAUGAAAAUUUACAUAGGUGUAAAGAAAAUUGGUACCUAAUAACAAAAGUAAAAGACAAAUUAGUCCUGUCCGUUUCACAUCUCUACCUAAUAUUAAAGGGCUGUGUCUCUCUCGACACUGUCACAUCUCUAACUUAAUAUCUGUCUCUGCCUAAUAUUAAAGGGAGCUGUCUGUGUCGACACAUGACCAUGAUAUUUAGACCAAAUUUAGCAGUACUGACAUUUGGGACCAGGAAAGUGGCAGUUUUCAAAAUGUUUUUCCAGCUGGUAUGAUUUAAUUUAAUUUCUUUGAAACCAUUUGCAGCAGCAAUUUUAUAUGAGUAAGACACAAACUGUCACAUGAAACCUUUCUCCUCAUUCACCUCACAAACCUCGGCCAAUUCUAAGAUUGAUGAAUUUGGGCUGCUGUUUACCAGCAUCAAUUGGACAGCAGCAAGGUCCUCUUCAAGGUCGUUUCUGGCGCACCGACCGCACAGCCGAUUUUGCCGAGCAAGGCCCUCUUCAAGGUCGUUUCUGGUGCACCCAGCCACAUUUCAGGCUCUACAAUAACAGUUCUUCUCAGUGACAGGGUGAAAAGGCUCGGUGUCAAUGUUGUUGUGGGCAUUUACCUGAAAUUGUCAGAGGAGUUUGCAGAAGACAGAUUUCACACCACUGGGUUGUCGGAACUUAGAAUACAUAAACUGCUUGUGCUCAGUUCAAUAUGAGAAUCAAUUCUUGACGAAUUUUAGUCCUGCACUUUGUGUUUAGAAGGAACUGCAUUAUUGUUAUGUAUGAUGUUCAUAAUUUAUAUGACAGCAUCCAUCAUGUAUGCUUUGCUCUAGGUUCUUCUAUUGCAGUGGUAUGCUUAUUUGUUGCUUUCUUGAUAUCUUUUUU